This 1026-nucleotide long non-coding RNA is filed under the name Homo sapiens (human). RNAcentral's name for it is "non-protein coding lnc-FBXO15-3:9". Lineage: Eukaryota; Metazoa; Chordata; Mammalia; Primates; Hominidae. The record is from RNAcentral.
GUUUUUUGAAUUGCAUCUCUAAUGACCUAUCAGAUCAGAAGACUGGUAAACCUGGAGCCUCAUCCCAAGAGGUGAUGGUGUCUGGGUUUAUUAUGGAUCGCAGGAUGUAACUAUCAAUCUGGAGCUUUAGGGGGAAGAAGAAAGAAUAUUUUGAACCACACCAGGAGAAUUACCCUAGAGAAUAUAAGUUCACCUGCCAAAAUGGGAGGCUGGCAUCUUUUUGCUCUAUGAGAAGGCUGCUGAGCUAACAGGUCUGCCUUGGCAUAAAUGUCUAGAAGAGCAUGUGUCUCCUGGAGUAUGGGGACAUUUGUGUUUCCAUAAAUUGGCAGCUGCUUCUGGUUAGAGACUUCUAAAAGGUCUGGAAUACUGGAAUACUGGUAUAGUCCAAAAGGGGAAGAUGAAAAGGAGCCGUGGAACAUUGUACCAGGAAGAAGAUGGGACAUUACUCUCCGCAUGCCCUGGAGCUUUCGGAAGACGUAUAAGAGGAUCUUAGUUUCCAUAGCUCCACAUGAAAGAGCAAGCAGGGCUGCUGAUGUCCACUGUGGGCUCCAAGUGAGGGACUGGCCCAUGGGCAGGAGGUGAGGGAGACUUACUUGCUUUUCUCUGAGCUGGUCCACAGGAGCAGAGGAGACUGGGGUGAGCCUCACUCCAGAAUACUUGUAGAGUAUGUGACACCGGUUACCAACCUUGGCUCCACAAAAAUUACCUGUGAACCUUCUAAAAUACACAUAAGAAAUUCUUACUGAAUUGAACUGGGACGAGAUUCCACGUAUCAGGAUUCUGUAAAAGCUCCCCCAGUGACUCAAGAUGAAGUCCGGGUUGAAGACCAGUGAUAUGCAGGAAAUGUGUCCUGUGAUUUGAAACCACAUUCCAUUUGUCAAGCAAGACACUACGGCCACAUAAUGGAGAUCUACUUCCAUAUGAACCAGUGGAUUUCACUCUGCUUAAUGGAAGUGCCUUAGACUACUUCUCAAACCUCAGUCCACGUCAGAAUCACCAAAGGGCCUGAUGCAUCCCAGAUUCCAG